GUGUGGAAGAAUUACGAAGUAAAAUCGAAGGUGGUGGGACUGGUUCUAACUCUAUUGGAAACGAAUUUGAUGGUUCAUCGUUCGACGAAAUUAAGGCAGCAGCACAAG
Molecule: non-coding RNA, 108 nt
Filed under: uncultured Nitzschia
Lineage: Eukaryota; Bacillariophyta; Bacillariophyceae; Bacillariales; Bacillariaceae
Source: RNAcentral